RNAcentral lists this ribosomal RNA (432 nucleotides) under uncultured bacterium. Its description in RNAcentral is "bacterial SSU rRNA". It matches the Rfam family "Bacterial small subunit ribosomal RNA", at positions 355 to 787 of the family's 1533-position model. The record is from RNAcentral.
UGGGGAAUAUUGGACAAUGGGCGCAAGCCUGAUCCAGCCAUGCCGCGUGAGUGAUGAAGGCCUUAGGGUUGUAAAGCUCUUUCAGCGGGGAAGAUAAUGACGGUACCCGCAGAAGAAGCCCCGGCUAACUUCGUGCCAGCAGCCGCGGUAAUACGAAGGGGGCUAGCGUUGUUCGGAUUUACUGGGCGUAAAGCGCGCGCAGGCGGAUGGGGAAGUCGGAAGUGAAAGUCCGGGGCUCAACUCCGGGUACGCUUCCGAUACUCUCUGUCUAGGGACCGGUAGAGGCCGGUGGAAUUCCCGGUGUAGCGGUGGAAUGCGUAGAGAUCGGGAAGAACACCAGUGGCGAAGGCGGCCGGCUGGGCCGGAGAUCCGCAGAGGAUCGAUCCGACGCUGAGGCGCGAAAGCGUGGGGAGCAAACAGGAUUAGAUACCC